This 36799-nucleotide long non-coding RNA is filed under the name Lactuca sativa (garden lettuce). Its description in RNAcentral is "long non-coding RNA (LSAT_LNC008921)". The record is from RNAcentral. Lineage: Eukaryota; Viridiplantae; Streptophyta; Magnoliopsida; Asterales; Asteraceae.
AAUCAGCUGGACUUCUAGAAAUCAAUACUUCAUUGACUUUCUUACCAAAGUUCAGAUUUCUGAUACUAGAUUGUUUUGAUAAGACUUUAUCAAAAUCAUACACCUUCCCUUAGAUAGCACACUUGUGUGUCUAAACAAUUAUGAAGAGGGAUGCCGUAAUCAUAAUGGUUAGACCUUUUUGCCACUUCUCACAAGUCCAGGUUAGUGUGCCGGUAAACCACACACGCUCCACUAACGACUUUGAGAAUGCAAAUAUCACAAUUGCUAUCUAGCUAAAAUCUACUUAGUGAAAGUGUUUCCUCACCAUCAUUUUCAUGAAUCGGAGAGAAACCUUAUGACACUUAGAUUUAAUGGUGUAUGUGUUCUUAUCCAUGUGAAUUGUCAAAACCAUAGUCACAAGACAAGGAUAAUGACAAAUCCAAACUCAUAUGGAUUGAACUCAAUCUUAACUUCUUGCCACCUGGCAGCUCAAGGGCCUGCCAUUGCUUCCAAGUUGUUGUGCAACACAUUGAGAACUCUAAUAACUCAUAUGCAAAGCCAAAUUUAACUGGAAUGGGCACAGACUAUGUCAACACGAUAGGUUAUAAACCUCAAGUCGUGUGCUAGUGAAGAACUUUAUGUUUUAUUCUUGAUUAGUUCUUGAGACUUUCAAUACCUUUAAGACUCCCACUGUCCUCUUGACCUAUAAGACUCCCUUGUCAAACAUCCAAGAGAUAGUGCAGAUUCUAAUCAAGACAAACACUUCACACAAUUGGCCUUAGUUGGUCUUUGUUUUAUCCAAAACAUCACAACUUACCAAUUUCAAAUGUACAAGAGUAGAAAACUUUUACUCUUACAUUUGACAAGUGUUUUAAACCUUCUUUAAGACAUGUCACUCAAGUGACAAUCUUGGAGUAUGACUCUAGACUUAUAUUGGAACGAAGUAUGACUCAUCUUCUUGAUUUAACCAUUUCAACAAGUCAAGACUCCUCUUCUUAGUCAUAAGAAUGCACUAAGAUCCCCUUAGAGAAAUAAUUGUGCUAUGGUUUCUUAAUCAUUAAGAUGAUCACAAAACUGAUACUAAAGUACUCUCCCAUCUUUUCAGAUUUGAAAAACUUUUAUCUUUCUGCCUAUUGAUUCUUCUUAUUCGCUCUAUCAUACAUUGGAACCUUUUUCCAAUGUCUCAGAGUUACACUUAAGAUUGUAAGUAUAAUCAUGUUUACUAAGCUUUUGUAAACUAUAACGAAUAUUUUUAUCAAUCUUUUGUGGUGGACUUGACCAGUGCACAAGAAUGUGUACUCGAUCCCUUACCCCUUCACUUGACUCACACAUCCAUGUGAACAAAUAAUUAGUCUUAAUUUUCCAAUACUUGAAAUUUCUCAUUCGUCAUGUUAUACCCCUUACAUGAUUCCAAGUCCCGGUCCAAAUGAAACUUGGGUGAUGAGAAUCUUUCCUUAUUUGGUAAAUUUAGACAUUACCACAAAUGAAAGAAUCAAUUUCAUAUUUCCACUCUUGCUAUUAAUGGAAUCAUAUAAGCAACAAUUUUUCCUCAAAUGCCAUUGUAAGGAUAUUUUAAAAUAAAUAAAAUCAAAAAAAUUUUCUUUUAUUUUAAAACUUUGCGGAAAAACUUAUCCUUACAAUCCAUAUGAAAACUUGUUGUUAUCUAUUCCUAAGCAAUAUCUCAUAACUCCUAAGAAGUAGCUCAAGAAUCCGAUCUUCAAACUAUGCGAUAGAAAUCCAUCUACGCCAUCAGAUUCAGCAUAUUCUUUCUUUAAGUUUCUUCACUUUUCUUUGAUUCUUAAAACAUCACCAUGUGACCCAGUCACAUCAUGUAUCAAGAAUCUCAGAAUAGAAACUUAACAGAGUUAGAUAGUGGAAUUUACCUGAAGUAGAGUCAAACUUAUUGACUUUAACAUCCUUAGGUAAAUUUGGCAGCUUCGCAACCAAUGCCCCUUCCUUUGGCAAUAUAAACAUAUGGACCCUUUGAUAAUGGUACACGGGACUAUCAUAGACUUAGCUUUUCUCUUUACCAUUUGGUCAACCGAGUUGACUAUGGUCGAUCCCUUUCCACCGGGAAGAGAGAGCUUUACUAGAUAUCCAAUGUCAUCAUUGUCAAUGUCCAUAAAGUUUUAGGAAGUUGAUCUUAGCAAAUAGAUAAGAUCAUUAAGGGUUUUGUCAUAGUCUAUUUCAUCGGUGUCCCAAAGGAACUCACUAUGUGACUUAGAAAGUGAUUGAGCCACCAACUUUCUCAAGACUUUGACACCCAACUCUCCCGGCUUGUCAAUAUGUGACUACAUCUCCAAGACGUGACCACACCUAGACCUUGACAUGCUAAUUGGGCUUGAGUGACCUUAAAAUUUUCAUGAACCUGUGGGUUGGGGAGAAUAAUCGGAGGAGGUGAAUGAAGUAUGAUUUCCAAGGGUCAUCAUCUUCGUUUAGGAAAGCUUGUUUCAAGAGAUUUGGGAAGAUCAUAAAUGUCUAAACCAGACAUGUUGUGGGAGAUAUUCAAGAUAGUUGAUCUUAAGUCCUUAAUAUGACACCCAAUAUGAAAUAUUAAGUUUAGGACCCAACAAACUAUUUUAUAACUUAGAAUAGGUAUGUCGUAAUCCAAGCUAUAAAACAUUUGAAGGUAGGUGAAUGACGAUUCACCAAUUUCCACCAAGAUAAACGAAAUGUAUUAUUAGGUUUUAAUUGGUUUUGAAACUCCUAGAUCUUUGAGAUUCAUUGAACUUUUCAAAGGCAUGUUUCAAUCUCGAGUGUGCCCUUCAGGUUUUGUGACUGGGAUGCCGAGGAUCACAAAACAAGGUGUGAAGUAACCAUGCAAAUCACUUGGUACCCUUAAUAAAUUACCCCUCAAUCGAUGUGCCGGUUAACCACACACGCUCCAUCGAUACUAUGAUAAAUAUUAAGUCACCCUUUACCUACCUUGUUAAGUCCAAGUUAGUGUGCCGGUUAACCACACACGCUCCACUAACGACUUAGACAAAGUGUAAAGUGUAAUUUCAUGGAUUAGCACCUUAUUCACAUUUUUCCUAAGUAACUAAGAUUGGGUAUUAUUAAGAGUUUAGUUACUUAGUAUUAUCAUUAAUACUUUUAAUGAAGGGAGAAUUCUAGUCCUGUCAAACCCGUUCGGCUAACGACCCUCCACCAGUCAAGCAAGCGGUGGGUGAGAGUGGACACCCAUUAAGUUGCCAUUUUAUAGGCAACAACCUUAUACCCACCUUAUAGACCGGCUUCGUGAAUGAGGCGUACUAGCGGUAAGACUGACUUUACUCUUAUACAUAUAUAUAUUAUUAACUUAUAAUAUUAUAAAGUAUAAGGGUUGAAUUUUAACUUUUAAAAUUCUAAGGGCUAACUUGGAAUUAAAGUAUUCAUAAGUGAAAACUUUACAAAUUCCAAAACUUGAGGGCAAGUUUUGAAACUAUUCAAAACUAAUUAAUUCCAUAACUUAUGUGUUUAAAGUAGUUUUAAUCCAAAAACUCUUCAAGUUCCAUAACUUGAGGACAAGUUAUGGAAGACUUUAAACUAAUAAAAGAAUUAACUUUUCUUUAUUUUAUAACUUAUGGAGUUAAAUAAGGUUACACUUUUUUAUUUAUUUAUUAUUUAAUGAAGAGACUCUUGGUCCUCCAUAACUUGAGGACAAGUUAUGGAGUCAUAAAACCAUUUAAUUAGAACUAUACUCUUCAUUUUGUAACUUGUGCCAACUUUUAUGAGUUUUAUGAAACUUAAGUGUGACUUUUCAUAUAACAUGAGGACAAGUUACAAAAACUCAUUUUAGAAUCAACUCUUAGAUUAAAAUGGAUUGAAAACUCAUAAUCAAUUAACUUUUCCUAUUAAUCUAAGCAACUCAUAAGAACAAGAUAAUUCAAAUCAAACUUUUUCAUGUAAUUAGUCUAAACCUUAAACUAAUACAAAACAUGAAUCUAUUGACAAUUAUCUUUGAAAUUGGAUUAGCAUGAACAUUACCACAUCAAAAACAAGUUUAUAAGUUCAAAAACAACUUAGGGUAAUGUUCCUAGUCCAUUUCUAGCCAAAAACCUCGAAAAUAUGCUGUCUGGGGCUCCUACUCGGCGAGUGCAUGAACCUACUCGGCGAGUAGGAUGAUUUUACUCAUGGACUCGGCGAGUUCAUCAGUGGACUCGGCGAGUCCAGUGCCCAGAAAGCCAUAAAAUCGAGUUUUUCAUCAUUUUUCAGCAAUAUGCAUCAAGUAUAAGAGAAAACAAGACCUAACUCUGAUACCACUGUUGGGUUAUGAGCAUUCUAACACUCCUAUGUGUAAAAGCAACCCCAAAUACCUUGGAUCUAUGUUUUCUCUAUUAAACAUGCAAAUAAGAACUUUCCAAGGUAUUAUCCUAAUCUAGCAUACAAAAACAAUGAGAGUCACAAGAUAGAAUACAUACCUCUUUGAUGUAGAAAGUCUUCAUGAAGCUUGAGUGCCUAGUGCCCCAAGUGUGACACCUCAAAUGGUUCACACAACACCAAAUACACUUGGAAUAACUUGAGAGAAUUCUACACUUCAUGAAAAUCGGCUAGCCCUUCUUACUCUCACUAGUGGCCGAUUUUGUCAAGAAUAAGAUCUUUAUAUAGUGUUACAAUUAGGGUAAACCCUAAUUGUCAUGACUUUCCAUUUCCUUGGAUCCAUGGGUUCACAUACACCAUGGAGCAUCCAUGGACCAUCCUAUGGGUUUUAGCCCAACUUGAUUAUCCAUGGAGCAUUAGCCCACUAUACAAGUAUGGAUGAUUUACACAAUCAACCCAUAUAUUUAAUUAGUCUUCUUUUGUCACUUAAUUAAUUCUAGAUUAAUUCUUGAUCAAUACUAAUUAAAUAAUCUUAUUAUUCUUAUUAUUGAUAUACUAGAACUUAUAAUAUAUUAAUAACCAUAAGUGUCUUAUUUCUCUCAUUAUAGUCUAUCGAAAUGCAUGAUGCCAUGCAAUCCAAAUGGGCCAUGCCGGGUCGGGUCAAGUCUUACCAAUUAUAGUUAUGGACUUAGACAUUAAUCCAACAAUAUGGACAAGAGGCAAACGGAGUAAAAGUGGAAGAGGUUAUCAAGGAGGAAGAAGAAAUUGAGAAUGAUGUCAAUGAAACUAUAGAGUAGGUGUUGGGUAUUAACGAAGGAGAGGUUGAGCCACCUACUACCAUUAAGAAACUAACUCCAGUGGUAGAAUAGCCACAAGAUCCGGAAAUGAUAAAUUUGUUGGACCCUUCGAAUGAUAUGUAUCACGAUAAAGAGGAUGCCAAACCGGUCACUUACUCAACCACCAUGUCCAAAAAGGAAGAAUUGGUCACCUUACUAAAUAAGAACAGGAAAGAAUAUAGUUGUAUGAUUGCUAUUAUCAAAGGUCUAAGUCUAUUAUGGUUCUCCUGUAAAAAGAAAGCCAAAUACAAGAAAAGAGUCCCAAUGGAGGUGUGGAAACUAAAAAAUGUUGACACGGGGCAAGUUUUCAAGGUUAAUGGACAUCAGUUAAAGACUUUCUAUGGAGGUUUUGAUGGAAAUGUCCAAUUCAUCAUCCGUUUGUUUGUGGGCUUAGGGCAGAUUCACCCAAUUAACUAUCUAUUUGAUAUUAGAUGAUAUAUAGUCAGUAUAAACUAAGUGAUUAUAGAAGUAAUCACAGCGGUCACCAUUUUAUUAUAAGAAAUAAGGGUUUUCUUAAAGAAUAUUUUCAUUAAAUAUAACGGAAGUAUUACAAUUAACUCCAUGAGUAACAAGUGAGUACGCCAAGGUUGUAUACAACAAUGAUCUAACAAACAAUGGGAUGUGUGCUAUCUGCCUUACUUCCUGUUCCUUGUUUGGUUGUGGGCUUAGGGCACAUGCGCACAGUCAAUUGUUUGUUUACUCUAAGUUUUAUAUAACUUGUAUCCAUUUAGUACUCAUAGAAAGGAUUGUAGAAUCAUUUUUAUGUAACUUUCAUCAAAGUAGGAAAUAUAGGAUUUUCUAGAGGAACAUGCGAACUUUUCUAAAACAGAACUUAUAACUUACUACAUUUCAACUACAUUUUUCAACAACUUUCUAAAACUUACUUACAUCACUAAAAUCUUAUGAAAUCACCAGCUUAAUUGCUGAUAAACUCUUUCAAAUAACUUGUAUUCUCUGGAAACUAGUAGACAGGUACUCGCGCUGGGAAUUCAGAAGAUGGGGCGUAAUAGCUUCAAGUCUUGUUUUGUUAUUUUCUUAUGUAUUCUAUGUUUUGUGAACACACACAUUGUAAACCCUUUCUUUCUAAUGAAAUGGUUGUUCAUUACUUUGAUUACUAUGGUACAUUCCUUGUGAUACUAAACAUGACGUCCUCCGCCCCCGAACAUUUCCGCCAUUCCGGUUUUGGGUCUGACAGAUUGGUAUUGCUUAUAGUGAAAUCAGUAUAUCAACUGAUAAAAGAUAUACAACUAUAAAUACAACGGGGCUUAAGUGCUCUGGAUAAUUAUAUAUUUUAAGACUAUAACGAUAAGUUAAAAAAAAUAUUCCUACUUGCUUAUACAUGUAUACACUAGAACAAAUAUCAUAAGAAGAAUAGAACAAAAGUAUUUAAAGGUUGAACACUGCGGUCAAACCUGAACAGUUCUGUAAUCAUAGCUAGAAACAAUAUAGCCUGAUCAACUAUAUUCAUUCGAGAUGUGACCGACAUGUGUUUGGGAGUGAUGUGGUGUUGCAACAAUCUUAAAACUUACCUAACACCGGUCAAGAGAAUACUAGAUCAAGUACAUUACAUUAAAGUACUAUAGGAGUAUUUUAGGCUCUAUAUAAAUAACUUAUGUGAUAACUUAAAAGACCCUUACGGAUAGGUCUAUAAUCUUGCAAUGUAUACUCCCAAGGUUAUAUAUAAUUGAGGUUUUAUAGACUUAUAAUUUGUGAUCUACGCUGCUCUACGUGUUCCUUGUUUAAUUGUGGUUUUAGAGUAGGAUCACUUAUUCGAAGGUCUAUUUAAUCUUGAAUUAUAUACAACUUGUACACAUUGUACAAUUAUAGAAGGACUCUGUAAGGAUCACCCCAUAAAGCUACCUUAAAUGUCAUAAAUUCUCUAGUCACAUCCAUUCUUGCACGACAAACCCAGAUAGAUGUAACCACUUCCUCAUAGGGGCCAACAGAAGAGUCAAGGCGGAAUAAGAACAAGUUCAAUAGAAAGUUUUCAAGGAGGGAUCAGCCAAAGCAACCAAAACAUCAUAUGCUUCACACUAAUAAAUAAUAAUCUUGGUUAACUUAAUGAGUUAGUGGAAACACUGCUCAACCUAAAUGUUAGGAUUAUUUUCUUUACAUGUAGUUGGUAACAGUUAUUUAGGUAACAUAUAUUCAUUCGAGGAUAGCCAUUUCUAAUUCAUAAAGUUUACUUGGUAUAGACUUUUUAUGAAUUGUUUCUAGAACCCUGUGGAAGUCAGGAUCUGAUACACUCAGAACUAGAAUAACCAGAUGCACUACUCCGAUAACUCCAUCACCUUCUCUAUAAAUCGAUGCGGCAACUCUAAAUGCUGCAGUAGCUGCGGCUGUAGCAAUAGCCAUGGCUCAAUAUCAUCCAACCAGUUCCAGCGGAGGUGUAACACCUAUUCAUUCUACUCAAGGUGAGGUCUUUGUGCCCUCAAAAGAGUGCUCCUUCAAGGACUUGACCAACUGCAAACCCCUUUCCUUUAUUGGAAAUGGUGAAGUCAUUUAUCUAAUGCGAUGGUUCGACAAAAUCAGAUUUGGUCUUCGAGAUUUGUUCGUGCCUAGAAGGGAGCAAAGUGUAGUUUGCUGCCUACACCCUCUCCAACAGAGCCCUGUCAUGGUGGAACAUCCAUGUUAAGUCACUAACCCUAUCAGUAGCUAACUCAAUAGGUUGGGAAAACCUAAAAGAGUUAAUGCUAGAAGAGUACUGCCUAAGGGGCGAAAUAGAAAAGUUGGAACAAGGACUAUGGGAGCUCAGAAUGGUCAGCUCAGACACAACAACCUUCACCGACAUGUUUAGUGACCUGGCAACACUAUUCCCUUGGAUGGUUGCCCCGGAGAGCAAGAAGAUAGAAAGAUACAUAUGUGGUCUAGCUGCCCCAAUCCAAGGAGAUGUAUUGUCUUCUAACCCAGCUACAUUCGAUAGUGCCAAAUGCCUGGCCCAGCGACUCGUUAACCAUAGAGUUCACUAUGGUGUAGAAGUCCUCGAUCCAGAGUCAUCGAAGGGAAAGGAAUAUAAUCAGAAGUCGGGGAGCAAGAGGAAGAACAAGCGAACAACACAGGAACCACCGCAAGAGCAACAAGCGAGUACUAUGUAUGCUACUACAACGCCUGCUGCUCCAGCACCUCCAGUCGAUAUGCUGGAAACCUCCCGAAGUGUUGAAAGUGCAACUACAACCACACCGAAGUAGGAUGGGAAAUGCAGUGUCUGAACUGCCACAGAAAGGGACACACAAUCCAUUUAUGCAGGGCACCGGGUAAACCGAUCUCCCAACUCACCGGAGUUGAAGAAAACCAAGCCUGCUAUGGCUGUGGUGAGACUGGUCACUAUCAGAGGGACUGCCCGAUAACAAAGAACUCAAGCGCGGACGGACGAAUCCUGAUGAUCACCACAGGUGAAUCAACCCCAGAGUCAUCAAUGAGCAGCGGUACGUCUUCAUUCUAGUAAUUACUUUAAAAAACAUAAUUUAUAUUUAUAUAAGAUUAAAACUUAGGGAAAACAGUUAAGUAAUUAUAAUAACACACAUAUUGGAAAGGAUCACAGUAUUCAAGAGAACUAAAAGGUCCGUUCAAGCGAAGCUAUGAUGGCUCGGCAUAUACAUCAGGGUUGUGCAAAAAUAAGAUGAUGCAGAUUUAGAGUGAGUGAUUCUGCCUUAAUUACUAUUCCUUGUUUGGUUGUGAAUUUGAGGCAGAGUUACUCUGUCGACCAUCUUAUUUAUCUUAAAUAUUCAUAACUUGUAUAUGACCAGCGAUCGUAGCGGUACCGAGGAAGAUCAUGAUAAAGUAUCAUCACCAGUUAUAAAAGCACUUUUAUUUGUAUGUAUGCUCACAUAGCGGUACGAUACAUAUGAGUGAUAACAUCAAAAGGAGGACAGAAAACACUAGAACAUUUACAAAGAGUACAUUAUCGAACACACUAAGAGUACAUUGUCGAACACACUAGGGAUACAUCAUCGUAUAUUAGACAUAUCUUUCAAAUUGGCCGAAACUUUGUUCAGUAAAGAGUCUGUUACUAUCAUUUGUCAUGAAUUGGCGUGGUCCUCACCAUACUAAGUUCAUAUGUUUCUAUCACCUCGAUCAUGAAAUUCUCGGAACCUUGUCAUUUGUAUCGACAGUCUGACCAAAAUCUUAGUUUUAUCUUUCGUAUUCUAAACCGCGAAGUACUCAUGCAAAGAGUAUGUUGUCCUCUAAAUCCUUGUCAUCAUAUGUUCGCAGACCGUCAGAAAAUACCACUCGUCCAGCAGACCAAGUUCGAGCACAGAGGCUAAGGACGAAUACAACCCAACUAUCACUAUUCAAUGUAUACGCGAGAGUGGUAUAUGAUUAUGAUUAUGCAGCUCUAGUAUGUGUGUCUCCGCCUUAUCUCCUAUUCCUUGUUUUGUUGUGGAGCUGGGGCAGAGUCGCACAUCUGACCGUCUUAGUAAUCCUAAUCAUAUACGCAUUGUAUACACAAGGUAAUGAUAGAUGGACCAAGUAUGAAAUCCUAUGAUGAAAACUUGGGCAAAGUUGCCAGGUCUACGAGUGAGUAUUCUGCCAAUUAGAGGAGAGCAACCCUGUGGCACUAUAAGAAAGUUAAUUUCGAGAUGAAAUUUCGUCUAAUGGGGGGAUGAUGUGACAACCUGAGAAUUUUUACUUUGAAAGCUCAGUCAGACAACUCAACUUAAUUUUAGACUCACUCCUGUUAUCAUUUAGCACAAUUUGGAGCCUGUUUGAUCGUUCUGAUCCCAAUGCGCUCAAGGAAUGUGUGUUAGGAAAUACCGGCUAAAACCACGGAACAAAAAAUCAAGCUUAGCCUCUACAAAAUGGAUUUCACGGACUAAGCACAAGAGUUUACGGACGUAAACUGAAGGUAGGGCCGUAAAAUCCCCUAUAUAAGCUCUUAUUCUUCAACUUUCAUUCAUUAUCACAUUCCAACCUCAAGAACACUCCAUUUCUCUCUCAAGUAUCAUCCCGAUCUUCAUUCUAGAUCUUCAAAAGUUGUAAGUAUUCUUCCUUCAUAUUUUGAUACGUCUCUUAAUCUAGCAUCCCCUCAUGAUUUCAUCCAUGGAAAUCAUGUUUUCAUAGAUCUUCAACUUUCACCAAGAACACCGAGAACAUACACUAGUGUUUUUGGCCAAAAUCAACCAUUUUAAGCCUCUAUAUCAUAAGUAUUUUUCCCUACACUUCAUAUCUUGUUGGAGGCCUUGAAUUACAUCAUUGAAACAUGCCUUUUCCCUUUAAGAUCAUGAAUUUACGGCCCAAGAUCUUCCUUGGCCGUAAAAUCCAUGUUAUCGCAUGUUUGAGCUUUAAACUCUUCCAACAAGCAAGCCUUUGACCUUGAACCCUUCAUGGAUGUUAGUAGGACCUUAAACUACUCUCAAAUGCAUAAUGACCAUGAGUUUACGACUGUAAACUCAUUUGGGCUGUAAACUCAUCAAAAGCCUCCAUUGGUUUGGUCUUUCUCAUCCUUGUGUAGAGGAAAAGUCCCUCAAGCUUCCCUAGCCUUCAAACACACACCUAUGCAUGUUUGACCAUGAGUUUACAACCGUAAACUCUCUUUGGCCGUAAACCCAUGGUAGUAGACUCUUGUUAGUUCCAUUCCACACUCCUUAGUCCAAUCACAAAUGAUUCCAACACUUGGUCAAAGUGUUUCCUAGUCCCGGAAGGUGUUUCUUUUCAUUUAGUUGCUAAUAAUCACUAUAUUCAUGCCAAUAUAUGUCAUUUAGGACUUAUUGUGUCUCGGGACAUCAUUUGUAGAACUUCUCAUCCUUACGCGCGUAUUCGUUGAAUCACCCACAUCAGGUGAGUUCAUACCCCGUAAUGAAUCUUUUAACUGUUUUAAAUGCUUUUAAGGGGGGAAUACAACUUGAACACAAUUAUAAUUGUGUAAAUGUUUGUUAUAUAUAUAUNUAUAUAUAUAUAUAUCUUUCAAAAGAUUGCUUAUGUCCUUUAUAAGUGAUCCAAACAUAUCAAAAACUCUUUUUAACUUAUGUUCCUUUAUAGUUUAACAAAACUCCGUUUUUAAAGUACAAGCAUAACUUAGGAGUUAAAUGAGUCUUUUCAAUAACAAGUUCAAGUAAAACAAUAUUAAAUUAUAAGAGGUAUAGUUUAGGAAGAUACUAUUCAUUACUUCUAGUACAAUGAAGCAUCCAAAGAGUCGGUUCAUACAUAAGACAGAACAUACUAUAUGAGAAACAUAAAAUACUAUAUGAGGAACAAAAUAAACAUACUAAGUUGCUAUAGCAUGAAACAACUACAUGAUCUAAUUAUACCAAUAAAACACUAAAUCAUUGUUCUAAACAAAAGUUGAUAAUUAAAUUGGGUAUACAUGAUCAUAUAACUUUAAUGUGGAUGUACACGACUUGCAUUUGAUUGCAGAGGUUGCGUUUGGUUCCCACAAUCUUUUGACAGGGAGAACGUUUAGUAUGGGAUCUAGUCAUCACAUUAUACCUUAAUAAUCAAUUUAAGGCAAUUAGUACAAUAGUAGUUACUAUAUACAAUACUACAGUACUUAUAUUUUGUCAUUACUAUCAUAAAGUUACAGUACCACCUGAAAGUCAAUACAAACUAUUUUUGAGUCAAGAUAGUUAUAAACUAGAGAAAAAUAACAUUUUACAAACGACAAUCAGAACAGUCGGGCCUAGUACAUUCAUUAGAAAGGGACCAUAAUCCUAACUUUAUGAUUCCUUAAUGUGUACAUCAAGGGAUAUAUAUAAAUAGGAUCCGACAGGUAAUUGGAUGUGUGCGUUCCGCUUCAUUUCCUGUUCCUUGUUUGGUUGUGGGCUUAUAGCGGAUUCACCCAGCCUAUUAUCUAUUCGAUCUUAGUUAUAUAUAUGUUCUGUAUCCAUUAAGUCAUCAUAAGGGGUACCAGGUAUGGGUCAAGUCAUAGUACACUAAUACAAUGCCCAGUUUUCUAGUACAAAGCAUGCGUUUCACCAUAGGAGUGCAUGUACACCAUAGGAGUGUUAGAAUGCUCAAAACCCAUCAGUGGUAUCAGAGCCUAGACUUGUUUUCUUGUUAUACUUGCUUAAAUUGUUGAAAAAUCGAAGAUUUGUGUUGUCUGCUCAGCAGACUCGCCAAGUCCAUGAAGUGACUCGACGAGUCCAAGUGCAAACUCAUCCAACUCGCCGAGUUGGUUCAUGCACUCGACAAGUUGGACCUCCUAACAGCAUAUAUCUUCGAGUUUUGGUGCUGGAAUUGGUCUAGAAUAAUUAUCUUAAACUGUUUUGGACUUAUAAAAACUAUUUAUUGAUAUGGGAAUGAUUAUGGUAAACCAAUUUCAGAGUUGUUAUCAAAAUUUCAAGUUUUAUAUGGUUAAUUUUAUGAUUCUUGGAAUCGUUGACAUGUAUGUUCUUAAUCUUAUGAGCUUAGAUGAUCAUAAGAAUUAUUUGUAACCUCCUUGGCAGUUUAAUUCUUGAUCAUUAUGUUUUUAAUGGAGUCCAUAACUUGUCCUCAAGUUAUGGAUAACCAAAACUCACAAGUCAUUAAAUCCAUUAAAAGAACACAAUGGUUACAUAAGAUGAAAAGUCACUCAUUUUAAUAAGCCAUUAACUCAUAAUUUAUGAGAAAUGAAAAGUUUUGAAAGUUUACAAAACUUGGCCUCUAGUUUUGGAACAUGUAAAGUCAUAAUUAAAACUUUAGUUCCAAUCCUUAGAAUUUUAAAAGUUAAAAUUCAACCCUUAUACUUUAUAAUAUUAUAUGUUUAAUAAUAUUUAUAUAUGUAUAAGAAUAAAAGUCAUCUUACCAUUAGUAGGCCUCAUUCACGAAGUUGGUCUAUAAGGGGGGGGGGGGGGGGGGAAUNGGUUACUGCCUAAAAAAUGGCAGUUUAAUGGGUGUCCACUCUCACCCACCGCUUGCUUGACCGGUGGAGGGUCGUUAGCCGAACGGGUAGCACAAGGACAAGGUAGGCAAAGGGUAACUUAAUAUUUAUCAUAGUAUCGGUGGAGUGUGUGUAGUUAACCGACACAUCGAUUGAGGGGUAAAUAUUAAGGGUACCAAGUAUAUUUGUAUGGUUACUUUACACCUUGUUUUGUGAUCCUCGGCAUCCCAGUCACAAAACUUGUAGGGCACACUCGAGAUUGAAACAUGCCUUUGAAAAUUUCAAUGAAUCUGAAAAGAAUCUAGGAGUUUCAUAACCAAUUAAAACCUAAUAAUACAUUUCAUUUAGUUUGGUGGAAAUUGGUGAAUCGUCAUUCACCUACCUUUAAAUAUUUACAGCUUGGAUUACGGCAUCCCUCUACCACGUUAUAAAAUAGUUUGUUUGGUCCUAGCCUUAAUAUUUCAUAUUGGGUGUUAUAUUAAGGACUUAAAUCAACUAUACUUGUAGUUUUGAAUUUAUCCCAUUGUUGAUGUCUGGCUUAGACAACAACGAUCUUCCCAAAUCAAGCUUUCCUAAUGAAUGUGACUUCCCGAGUUUGGCUCAUGGAAAACAUACUUCUCUUCCUCCUCAUCCUCCAAUUAUUCUCCCUAACCCACAAGUUUAAGGACUUGAAAAGUUCAAGAUCACUCAAUCCCUACUCAAAAUAAAACAUAAAAUUGGAUGUCUUGUGUGCACUCAUGUCUUAGGACUGAAGUCACACAGUGAUAUGUUGAGAAUGUUGGGUGUCGUUGUUCGAAGGAAGUUGACUAUUGACUGGGUCUUUCAGUCGCUUCAUGAGUCAUAUAGAAAGACUACUAUGUGACAGAUCACGAGAUGACCCUAAUGGAUCUUAUUUGCUUAUUGCUGUUGAAAUAGAAAUGAAUUUGGUGCAAUAGUCAACUAAAUAUGGAUUCAAGGUCUAUUUCUUAAACUUCCAUGGACAUGGACAAUGGGUGACACUGGAAGUUCAGAAAAACUUUCUCUUCCUGAUGGAAAGGGAUUGGCCUUGGUCAACCCAGAGGACCAGGAGGUGAAGAGAAAGUCUAAGUCUAGAAUAGCAUGUGUACCAUUCCCAAAGGGUCUAUAUGUUCUCAGUGUGAAGAAAAGGGGCAUUGGAAGCGAAGCUGCCCAAGCUACCUGAAAGACAGAAGAAUCAAAAGUUUGACUUUGCUUCAGGUAUGUCCACUAUCUAACUCUGUUAAGUUCCCAGUUGAUGAUUCUCAAUACAAAAUGUGACUCGGUUGCAUUUUGAUAUUUUUCAAGAUCAAGCAAAGGGAAGGAAACUUAAAGAAACAGUAUGCUGAAUUUGAUAGCGAAGAUGGAUUUAUUUUGCUUGGUUGAAGAUUUAAUUCUUGAGCUACUUCUUAGGAGUUAUGAUAGAUUGCUAGGAAACAUGUAAUAGCAUACUUUUCAUUUAAAGUUGCAUUGUAAGGAAAAGUUUUUUUCAUAUUUUAUAAAUAAAUAAAAGUUUGUUAUACUUUGUUUUAUAUCUCCUUUCAAUGGCAUUUAUGAAAACUUGUUGUUUGUAUGUUUCUAGCAAUAUUGAAAAUAUAAAUUUGAUUCUUUCAUUUGUGGUAGUGUCUAAGUUUACCAAAUAUGGAAGGCUUCUCAUCACCCAAGUUUUCAGUUGGAUAGAAACUUAGAGUCAUACAAGUUGUACAGUAUGAUGAAUGAGAACUUUCGGCUUUCGAAAAUUAAGACUAGUUUCUUGUUCACAUGUAUAUGUGAGUCAAGUGAAGGACUAAGGGAUCGAGUACACAUUCUUGUGCAUUGGUCAAGUCUACCACAAAGAUCUAUAAGACUAUUCGUCAUUAUUUACUAAAGUCUAUUAAAUAUGGUUAUACUUAUAGGCUUAAGUAUAAUUCUGAAGCAUUGGAAAAAUUUCAGUGUAUGGCAGAACGAAUGAGAAGUAUCAAAUUAGGCAGAAGGAUAAAAGUUUCUAAAAUCUGAAAAGAUGCGAGAGUACUUUAUUAUGAUGUUAUAUGAUCAUCUUAAUGAUUAAGAGACCUUCUCAAAAUUCAUCCUCUAAGUGCAUUUUGACAGCUAAGAAGAGGAGCUAUUAAUUAUUGAAGUGUCAAAUCAAGAAGAUGAUUCAUACCUCAUUCCAAAAACGGUUCUUAGAGUCAUAUUUCAAGAUUGUAACUUUAGUGACAUAUCUUAAAGGAAGGUUUCUUAGCACUAGUCAAAUGUAAGAGUAAAAGUAUCCUACUCUUGUACAUUUGAAAUUGGUAAGUUGUGAUGUUUUGGUUAAAACAAAAACUAAGGCCAAUUGUGUGAAGUGUUUAUCUUGAUUAGAAUCCACACUGUCUCUUGAAUAUUUGACAAGAAAGUCUCAUUGGUCAAGAAGACAGUGGGAGUCUAAAAGAUCCUGAAAUGGUUUCAAGAACUAAUCAAGAAUAAAAACUUGUAUUUCAUCGCUAGCACACAGCUAGAGGUUUAUAACCUAUCGUGUUGACAUUUUUGUUCCCAUUCCAGUUAAGUUGGCUAUAUAUAUUUGAGUUCUACAUGUUCUCAAUUGUUUGCAUAACUACUUGAAAGCAAUGGUAGGCCCUUGUGCUGCCAGGUGGCAAGUGGUUAAGAUUGCACAAGUUCAAUCCAUAUGAGUUAGCAUUUGUCACUAACCUAGUCUUGUGAUUAUGGUUUUGACAUAUUCACGUGGAUAAGAACACAUACACCAUAAAAAUAUAAGUUUCAUAAUGUUUCUCUCUGAUUCCUGAAAAUGACGGUGAGGAAAUUCGUUCACUAAGAAGAUUUUAAGUAGAUAGCAAUUGUGAUAUUUGCAGUUCUCAAAGUCGUUAGCGGAGCGUGUGUAGUUAACCGGCACACUAACAUUGACUUAUGUGAAAUGGCAAAAAGUCUAAACAAUUGAGACUAUGAUUAUGGCAUCCCUUUUCAUAGUUCUGAAAUUGUUUAGACACACCUAUGAGCUACCUAAGAUAAGGUGUAUGAUUUUGAUAAAGUUUUAUCAAAGAAAUCUAGUAUCAGAAAUCCGAACUUUGGUAAGAACGUCAAUAAAGUAUUGACUUCUAGAGGUCCAACUGUUUUCUGGAUACAUGUCAAAGCUCGUGGGAGCAUAAGUGUUAUGCUAAUAAUUAUCAUGUUAGUGGGAGCAUGAUAAUUUGGUAAGUAUUUAAAGUUAGCAAUGUUAAUUAUUGAAAACAAAAGUUUCAGUUCGUGAGGUUGCAGGGGUUGAAAAAGUUGUUUUGCUAUAAUUAGGGGAGAGGAAAUUAUACUUCAUUUCAAUUCUAAAAAGCUUAGACUAAGUUUAUAAUCAUUUUAAAGCGCUUAUAUUUAGAUUUUAAUCACCUUUAGUGAAGAAUAUAUAUAUAUAUAUGAAUUUCAUGUUGGAUUGGUUCAACUUAAGAAAAUGCUAUAUAUCGUGUUCUCAAAAUUCGAUUAUGACUACGGCGUCACUUUUCAUAGUUAAGUUUUCCGAAUAUGGAAAUCAAAAAAAUUAUUAUGGAAAAAGACUGUUCUAGAAAAUGUCUUUAUGUGAAACAUCAUGAAUCGUGUCCCAUUUACUUUAGGUACAAGAUUGAUUACAUGUGCUAUAAUAUUUAUCCUUUCUAAAUUUUCCAAAUGCCUUGGGGCAUUAAGGAGGAAAAUGUCUAGAAUAGGAUAUGACAAAAGUGAGUAAGCAAUUGUCGAGGACAAUAUAAUGUUUACCAAAGAUUGGUUGCUCAAGGAUAGUUGGAAGUAUACGGUUGAUAUUGGAAGGACCAUAUUGACAUAGUCUAAAAAGAGGCAACUCCUGUUCAGAAGUGGUAGUCAAAAUGGGAAUAUAGAGUUGUCUUCAUAGGUGGAAGCAAUCUGUGUUAGGUUAAAGAAACUUAAUGCAAGAAGCAUGUUCAAAGCAAUGCGCUUUGAAUUUGAGAUAUCGUUUCCAUGGAAUUGCUCUCCAUUGGAAUACUCUGUAAUGAUUGUUGCCAAGUCUUUCUGGCUUUGUGCAUAAUCAUUACAAGAUAAAUAGUGCAUAUAUGUUUAAAAUCUAAACGGAUUUCGAUAAAUGUUAGGAAUUCUUACAUUUACGACAAGGAUUAGCAAGUUUGAAAAGAGAAUCAUUGAAAUUAUGUUCAAUCGAUCUAGUUCACAAAGUAUGGAUCUUAGAUAAACAUAGAGUGCAUACUUGGUGUAUGGCAAAGCUAUUGUUUAGAAAAACAUAGUGUACAUGCUUGUAGCAUGGGACAACUAGUGUUCUUACUUUAGGUAUAAAGUUGAUAAAAUCGAAAAAAUGAAUAAUGAGUAAUCAGUAUGGUGAUAUAUAAAAGUGGUCUAGUUAUAUUCAUAGGGUUUGAUACCAUAUUUGAUUCAUUUAUUCUUGUGUUUCACUUUGCAUGUUUUGACUUCCAUAAUAACUAGGUUAUUCUUUCGGAAUGACUAAGUUAUUCAAACCAUCCAUAGUCGAUCAUAUGUUGGAAGUUGAUAUGAAUCAAGACUGUCAUGGGUUGGCUUAUAGAGGGCCAAGUUGGUGGACAAAGUUGUGCUACAACACUCAUGAGUGCUCAUAAGUCUUGAGUAUUGGAUUAAACCUUCGCUCAUUUGAAUCACUUCAUGGAAUUUAUCACGAGUGAUCAUCAGACGAAAAUAUCUUAUAUUCUUCAAACCUAGAGAUAUGAGUUCUUCCUAUGAGUUGGUUGUACAUUAAUUGCACGAAAACGCAUUCGAAAACUCGAUGUUAUAAAACUUGCCUUUGUCUAUGAUUCAACAAGUAGUAGAACAAGCAAUAUGAUUCAAAGUUUAUGAAUUCCUUUUACCUUCGGGAUAAAGGUGAUAUAUGUGGGCCCCUCGAUGAUUUAAUGCUGACACAUGUGUGUGCUUGGCCAAGCCAGGACUGAUUUGAUUUGUUCAAUCAGUCAGUCGUCAUAAAUCCGAUAUCGGGAAACAACAAACGGAUAGAGAGAAUGAUUAUAAUUCAUGUCUUAGUCCAUAUGAUAUCUGGAAUGGAGGAAUAUAUGAUCCCUUAUCUAAUGGACAAGUCAUUGACAAAGGUCAGAGUUUGUUGACAAGGUCAGAGUUCGACAACGACUUUAAGAGCUACGAUUGCAAGUUAGGUUUUGAAGUCAUACUCAAUAAUUGUUUUAGACUUCUCCAAAUGGGAGACUGUUGGAUUAAUGUCUAAGUCCAUAACUAUAUUUGGUAUGUACUUGACCCGACUCGGCAUGGUCCAUUUGGGUUGCACUUCACCGACACAAUUUAUAUGGAUAGUCUUUUGAGAAUAGUAUAUUUAUCAUUAUAUUAACUUAUUAUAAGUUCUAAUAUAUUAAUAUGGAAUCAUAUUAUUUAAUUAGUAUUAAUAAAGAAUUAAUUUAGAAUUAAUUAAGUGAUCAAAAGGAGCUAAUUAAAUAAGGAAUCUUAUAUAUAUAUAUANNNNNNNNNNNNNNNNNNNNNNNNNNNNNNNNNNNNUAUAUAUAUAUGGAAUGGGCCAAGUUCAUUUAGGUUGGGCUAAGCUAUCAUGGAUAGUCCAUGGAGUUUCAACCCAUGGAUCCUUUGAAAUGAAAGGUCAUGGGUAUUAGGGUUUACAUGAAUGUAAACCUAAUCCUCCAUACUAUAUAAAUAGGUCUUUGCGACAAUAAAUGGCACUAGUGUGUGAGGACAUAAGAGUGGGCCAAUUUUAGUGUGCAUACAUAUUCUCUCAAGUUCUUCCAAGGUGUUUUGGUGAUUUGUGAUUCCACUUGAGGCUUCUACGCUAUUGGGGCUAAGCUCUUAAAGCUUGAAGACAUAAAGCUACAUCAAAAGGUAUGUCAUCUAACUAGAACUUCGUAGUAUAGGUGCUUCAUAAUAUGCUAGUUUGGAUGAAACCUUAGAAUAUUUAAUAUUUGCAUGUAUAAUAGAGAAAACAUAUAUCCAAGGUUUAUAGGGUUGCAUGUACACCAUAGGAGUGUUAUCACACCCCGAAAACCAGCACUUUAUAUGCACCCUCUUAUCACACCCCGAAAACCAAAGGCGGAAAUAUUUUCAGGGUUGACUCCAUGUUGACUAUCAAAUCCAAUGCACAUGGUAAAGCAGUAAUAAAAAAACAUUACAUUACAUAAUAUUGUUUACAUCUGUUUGAAAGUAAAGUUUUACAAGUGUUUUACAUAAGUAAUAUAAACAAAAGUAAACACGAGUCUUCGGGACGCUCCGUCUUCUCCAAAUGGUUGCGGUGUACAUGUCUAACGCUGACCUGAGAAUACAAGCGGUUUGAAAAUCAGCAUAAAGCUGGUGAGUUCAUAAGCGGUUUAGUUUUGAAAAGAACGAGUUCCUUUACUUUCUGGAGAAUUUGUUGAUCAAGAAAAUCCCAUAUUUUCUUAUGAAAACAGUUUAGUUAUCUUUUGUUACAAUUUUGAAAACAGUUGGUUAUGUCGUUCCAGGAAAAUCCCAUAUUUUCCUUGUAGUUUUAGUUAUUUGUUUGUUACUUUAUCCAUUUAUGUGUUGUUGUACUACCCAAGAAAAUCCCAUAUUUUCCUUACAGUUUUAGUUAUUCGUUUGUUACUUUAUCCGUUUAUGUGCUGUUGUGCUACCCAGGAAAAUCCCAUAUUUUCCUAUGUGUUGAGUUGUCUAUUUGUAUCUAGGUUCGUUACUGAUUGUAAUGUUAUCCUAGGAAAAUCCCAUAUUUUACUAUGUGUGGUGGUUGGUUCUUAAGUCUGAUUUCGAAGUACUAGUAAUUACCAUGUGAGUAGUAUUAGUUAUGUGUUUUAAACCCUUAGUUAUUCUACAUUCGGAUGACUAUAAUAUACUAACUUUGUUGUAUUUUAGAAUAUUUGGAAUCACACAGAAGCGUACAUUACAGUAUUUUCGAAGUUCUAUUGAGUUCGAAAAGAAUAUAUUAGUUGUGUAUUCGAAGCUUUGUCGACAUUCUGAGGCAGAUAUAUUUGAAACUCAGUAAAGGUCCAGAGGCAUAUUUUCGUAUUAGAUUCGAAACUCUUGUGACACUCAAGGAGUACACUAACUAUAUAUUUGAAAUCUUAGUGUCAACCAAAGGCGUCAUUUCGCAUUCGUAUUCGUAUUCAUAUUCGUAUUCGUAUUCGUAUUCGUAUUCGUAUUCGUAUUUGUAUUUGUAUUGGUAUUCGUACUAGAUUACAUUCAUUGAUCUUAAAUAUGAUUAGUAUGAUUUCUUAUUCAAAGAGAAUGUAUUUAUAACACUUUUAAAAGAAAUCUACGUUUAACCUGCAAUUCGAAACGUCAGUUACCAUAAAUCUUUGGAGAUCAAGACAUCUAGUAAGUAAAACCAUUGAGUUGAAAAUCAGUUUAAGUACAAAAUACACUUGUACUUUUUGCUUGUAUUCCCCCCUGAAAACAUUGAAAAACCAUUGAAAACACGGAAAAAGGGUAGGGGUAUGAACUCACCGGACUCAGAAAUGCGACGGUUUCGGACACUAAACGUCGGUUCGAGGCCUGAUUACUCGCGAUGUCCCUAUGUAAAAUGAAAUAAUGUCCAUAUAUAUNNNNNNNNNNNNNNNNNNNNAUAUAUAUCUAAUUAGAUUUACAAUCACUAAUUAUAUGGAACACUAUACUCCAAUGAGAUUAAUCACCUCAAAACGAGUGUUUGGAGUGACCCGGGCGACAUCUACGGACGUGUAAUGGCACGAGGGACUUGGGAUUUGAGUUUACUCCCCAAGAGUAAACAUUUCAGGAAGUUUACAACCAUAAAACACCUACAUACAUGAGUUCACGGCCGUGAACUCAUGUUGGUGUGAUUUUGAGUGCUUAAUGGCUUGUUUGGACUUGGGAAAUGUUGGAAUGGACUUCUAAAAUGCCAUGGAAUAAAUUUAUGGGAUUUAUACUAUGUUUAAGGGAGUUCAUGGCUGUAAACUUGUAGUUUACGGCCGUAAACUUUCCUAUGGUCAAGACUAAUUAUUUUGGGGCACAAGGGACAAUCACAUGUGAUUCUAGUUAAUUUUCCAAGCCUUGUUAUGAAUUUAUGGCACCAUUUAACUCACAAUUAGGAGUUUACGGCCUAAGAGCAUGAUCUAUGGUCAUAAACUCUUAUUAAGAUGAUGUUUGAUGUGUUUAAGGUCCCCAAACUAUUUUUAGAUGGCUCUAGAAUUUACCACAAGGCUAUUGGUUGAGUUUCAAGGCAUUUGGACAUGUAAAAAUGAGUUUACUCUCCAUUUUUGAGGGGUUUACCGCCCAAGCAUGUGCCUUGGCCGUAAACUCCUAUUUACUCCUCAAAAAUUAUGUUUGUAAUGUUCUAAGGCCAUUGCCAAUAUUCUAGAUGUCAUAUCUAAGCCUUGUUUGAGUCUACGAAGGAUUUAAGGGCUUAAAACCCUUAUAAUUUAGUGUUUACGGCCUAGACACCUUCCUGGGCCGUAAACUCAUAAUAAUCCUUCAAAAUCCAUGUCAAAAAUGUUCUAAGUCCAAUCCAUGAAGUCAUUAAGCCAUAUCUAAACUCUAGUUGUGGUUUGGAAGGGUUUUGUUGCUCAAAAACCGCUUUUAAAUGAGUUUACGGCCUAGGAUAGUUCUAGGGUCGUAAACACAUGAUAAUGGUCCUAAUCCAUAGAUUAAACUCGAAUUUGAAAGCUAAAGAGGUUGUAUAGCAUGUUAGCGAAAUUACCUCAAAGAUUUGAAGCCUUAAAUUGAUGAUUUGGACCCUUAAACUUGGAUUUAGGAGAGAGGUUAGAGAGAGAUGGUUGUGAAAUGAAGCAAAAGCUUCAAAUGAAAGCUUGAACACGUUUAAAUAGGUCCCAAACUUGGACACGAUGGAAUUCUACCCGAUACCAGCACUAAACGGGGCUUUUGGUCGCACCCGAUUAAGUUUUCGUGACUCGGCGGGAAUGUUUCUAAAAUUUUUGGAAUAAGUAUUUUGGGCUAAUUUCGUGAGUUCCUAAGAGUUUUGGACACUAAUUAGCGUCAAUUAAACAUACAAAUUUAAUUAAUUUAACCUAAAAACGACAUCGGAACGAAUCGAUUUACGGCAAGUUAUACAGGUAGAAUGGGUUUUCGGCGAUGAACAACUUCGGGUUGUUACAUUAUCCCCCUGUUAGAGGGAAUUUCGUCCCGAAAUUCAAUGAUUAUGAUACAAGUCAUGAACUUGAAUGAGAUACGGGUGGAUUUGCUGCUUCGGGUUUUCGCGCUCCCAAGUGACAUCGGGUCUCCGCUUGACGUCUCAGCGAACCCUCACUAUCGGGAUGCAUCUUGAUUUCGUUAGGUAGAUACUUCUCAAAGACUGAGACGUGAAGUAUCAGAUGGGUGCUAGUGAGUUCCUAGGGCAAUCGAAGUUUGAAAGUUACGAAAUUGAUUUCACAAGGGUCGCAAAGGGUCUACUGUAUCACGAGAGAAGUAUUUCGCUUUUCUAAAGCAUUCCAUGUUUUCCCUAGGAUAAAGCUUCCAACAGAAACAAAUUCCAACAAGGAGGUACAUCUUCAUGUGGCAGAGUAACUAAGGGUUUGAUGAUCCUGACAGAGAAUUGUGGGACCUGUGGGUUAUGGGCCCACGGUAUGGCUGGGUUGUUUACUACAAGAUCAAGGAAAGUGGUUUGACUGAAGGGUACCACUAUGAACUCGUGGUGAUGACAUCAGGUCCUGGUCGUUGUAUUGGAUACAUCAUCUUCUAGAGGUUCGGCUACGAGGUAGCUCCAUGAACUAGAUUAGUAUGAGACUUGACUAGACAUUCGGAAAAGAAUUCUCGAGGAUUCAUGGAAAGGCAUCAGGGAAAAAGUUACAGCCUCAGUAUAAAACAUGGAGUGCACAGAAAAUCAUGAACGUCCGGGUUCUCAAACCAGCAAAAGAUGGAAACUUCAUCAAUGUUCGAUUCAAAAUCUUGAGGGGAUCAGAGAAAUCCGAACAUGCCAUUUCUCUUGCUGAUCUUCCCAACUUAAAUCCUCAUGAUUGGAUCAUUCUGCACAAUAUCCUCCUCACCAAUGAAAAGGAAUAUGAGCCGAUCAUAGAUCACAUAAAAAGGAUGUUGGGCUGCGAUGUCAUGGAGGUUGCGAAGCUGGAUCAAGAAAUCGCAAUUGUCCUCAGAAAGAAGCCUACCAUCGCCCCAGUCGGUUCAGCAAGUGAUUUGAACAAAAUGCAGAUGGGGAGGAUUGACUCGAAGCGAAACUCGGUCAUGUUCACAAGAGGAGAAGGUCAGAAGUGUUUGUUGGCCUUAGCGGAUAAACAUCUUUGCUCUACAGCUUGUCUGGAGCAUGUUCUGGGGAUCAUCUAUCGAUGCAGGAAAAAGUCUGACAGUGACAAGAAAUACUUCAACGAUAUGAUCUAGUGGUAUAUUCGAUUCAGGGUAACUCUUCUCGCCAUCAUUCCUUGCUUAUUCAAUGUUACAAAGAAGGUUGAUGCUGCUGGGUCUAGUAAGCCGAAGUAGAGUCUCGCCCCAUUUGACGCAAAGGGGGAGAUUGUUGGGUGUAUGGUGUUGCGUCUUGGGCUCGGUUCUUAGCCCUGUUUUGUAUCUGGAUUGGGCCUGUCCAUCUGUGAUUUAUUUGUUAGGGUAUGAGUAUUUAUAGAUGGUUUCAUGCAUCUUAGUACGUAAGAUUUUUUGAGUCGAUUAUUCAUAACGUUUAUUGUUUUUAUCGAUUGUAACCCUAAAAGCCUCUCCAGCGGAAGUUCUUUGUCGAGCUCUGCUGAGGCUUGAAUCAUUAGAAUCAUUAAGCAUACUGUUGAUUCCAUCUCUUGUUUAUUACUUUGUUUGAAUCGUUUUGCCAAACCUGUGUAAGAUCUAAACGGUCUAAGAGAUUAAUAUCUCAUCAAGUUCAAGACGAAUAUAUGAAUUUUUGCAUGAAUGACUUCAUCUUGAAAAGUUGGACUUCCUUUAAAAUUUGACUUUGAAAGCACAUAGGAUAAAGAGGCUUCUUGUAUAGGUUCUUGAAAACCAACAGUUUCAGCUUUAAAAAACUUCAGAUAUAAUUAUAGAGAGACCGAUUCUUUUAGAUCACUUUAGCAAGUUCAUAAAUUGCAUCAAAUUGAUUGAGGAGGAUUCAAUGCAAUUUGUCACAUUACUUCAAAUAUAGCUUCACCUUACUUCUGGGGUUGAAAGCUUGUGUGUUAAAAUAUAAUCUUCACUUCUUGCUCCUUCAAAUGAAUAUUCUUUGUUGAUCAUAGAUGCGUCUUUGAAAAGUAACCAUGACUAAAAAGUCCAUGUGGAUCACAGAAUCAUAAAGACCCUUCUCACCAUAGUUGUUCAAGGACCCAACCUUGGCUCAGGUGGAGACUAGUCGUAGUAUCUAUGUGAACACGGAGGAACGCAUUGCAUAUCCUCAAUCAAUCAAAGAUCUCAAUCGUGACUACUUUUGAUGUUAACCCCUGCAUAUCCUCAAUCAAAGAUCUCAAUACAGUUUUUCAAGUUAACAAGUUAACUUGGCCCUUGGUGAGACGUUUGAUGGUUUUUGAUCCUUAGUUGAGUAUACCAUUCUAGUUCCAAUCAGACUUAAUUAGGAAUAACUCACAAAACCAUCUUGUGACAAAAUAUCUGAGGACAUAUUUCCACACUUUAGCAUGACACGAGGUCAAGGCGCUUUGGCGGGACAUUCAACGAUAAUUGUGCCUUGAGAGGUGCAUCGACCUAGUGCCAGUAACCAUUAAUUCCUUACCUGCAAAGAUUGUAUCCGAGAAUACAUUUGAGUCUUCGCAUUUUUGCAUGAAAAAGAGAAUGUCAAGACCCUAUGCGGGAUGUUCAGCGAUAUCUAUUUCCCGGUUGGGUGAAUCGCCCUGGUGCCAUGAUAAUUAUUAGGUAAAGAUAACCAUCAAGACUAAUUUGAAAAUCUGUACAUUUUCAGACUUUCAAUUCCUUAGAUAAAAAAGUUCUUAAAAAGAUAAUGCCUAACUGACAGUUAUUUAGAGAGAAACUGCCUAACUAACGAUUUGUACAGUUUCAUGCCUUCAAUUCCUUGUGGAAGUAGUGUGAAGUGUAAUUCCGUCAAUUCUUUUCAAGAUCUUUUCGCACAGAAAAUUACGACACAGACUCCUUGAGUCCCUUCUUCUUUUGAAUUCGAAUUUUAAGGCAAAUGAAAUUUUUUUGAGAUAAAUAUAAAAAUAAAAUAAACUUAAAACAUAAUAAAAAUUAUUAAGAAUACAAAUAAAAUUAACAUACGCUCAAAAAUAGAAAAAAAUAAUUUUGGAUUUUUGGAUUUUUCUGAAAAAGAAAUAAAAGAAGAAAUACAAUGAACAAAUUUUUGGAUUUUUGGAUUUUAUCAUUUUAUGAUUUUUAUGAAUUUUGUUUGGUUUUAAUUCUCCCCAUAAAUUUGUGCAUAGUGGGAAAAUAUGAACAAAUUUAACAACAACAAAAAUAAAAUACAAAAAGUACAAAAAAAACUCUUAGUCUUCAAAACGGAUCAUUUUAAGAAAACUCAGGAGUAUCAAGAAAAUUCAAACCAUAAUUCAGCAAUUGCAGCAUCAUCCAGAUGAUGUGAGAAUAGCAAGCAGAUGCAGCAACGUAUUCAACCUUAGCUGUGUUUCAAUUCUGGAACAAAGUUAACAUAUUCAAAAUUCAACAUGCCAUUAAAUAUGAUCCCCAUUCGUGUGAUCUUUUCUUUCUCCUUUCCCGCAAAGGACGCAUACCCUUAAUUAAAGUUCUGAAUGUCAUGCAAUUGAGGGAUGUCUCCUAUCAUGUGCCUGGAACAGCGACUAUCAACAUACCAAAACCUGAUGAUAUUCCUCUAUAGCUGCUCCGGCACAGAGUGCGGGAUUAAUUUGUUUUAAGAACCCAAUCCAUUUUGAAAUUGGGUUUACCAUUACUAUCUACACAAGAUACUCUUUCCUAUACCAUAUCCCUUUUAUCAAAUAAUGAAUUCAAAAAAUUUGAAGACCUUUUGGACCAGUUGAUGAUUUGGAAGAAAGAACUUUGGGUACCCAGUGGUAAUUUGGUUUGGGCAUUUUCUUGUUGGACCAAAUGGAACCUUUUUCACUUAACAUUGGAGCGUGAAAAACCUUUUGAUUUAGGCUUGUAUUAUGAGUGUGAGCUAGAGGACGACCCUUGAGAUCAAUUCGAACCUCAUCAAAUUUGUUUUGGAUGAACCAUCUCUUGAAUUAGGCUUCUUGUCUAGACAUGCUCCUUUUAUCCUUGAAAGUUUGAUUCUUGGCCCUUUUAGGAUUCCCAUCACAAAUGCGUGAACAUGACCUCGAAGGAUUUCUUUUGGAAGAUCUCCCCCUUGGCACGUUUUGCCAACCUUGUUUAUAGUAGUGAACAUAUGAACGAUGUGGGAAAUUUCUAGCAAUAUGACUGAGAGUCCCACAGUUAAAAUAGGUUUGUCUUUUCAAAUAAAUAAGAUUUUGACUUGGUCCUUGUCCAAAUGAAGUUUGUUUCAAAGACCUUCCAUAAGCACACGUACAUUUAUUAGACAGUUUAGCAAAAUUUUGUGGCUGGAACUUUUCAAAAGUGGGAUUAUCAUCAUUGCAAGUUUUUGAAGCCUUUUCAGCAAAACUAGAAUAAUUUUUGUUCUGCUUGAAACCAUCUUGCACAAUUACUUUAUCUGCACAUGAAGUAGAAGCAUUAGUGUCGUUCACAUUAAUACUCUCAGUUGGGCUGGACUGAUCAGUCUUGAUUGAUAUAGUAAUUGGGGGCUGAUCAUAUUGUGUAGGUCUCUUUGUCUCUGUGGUUUCAAGUGGCGGAGUAUAGUUAUCAUUGAAAGGAGGUGGAACAAUAUGAUACCCUUGACCCGUACCCUGUUUGUCUUUCCACUUUAAUUGUUUUUCAAUCAUAGACUCAACUUUCCUACUUGAAACAUCAAAUUUCUUAAAGUUAAAUUCAGCAUCCUUAAAUUUAGCUUUUAACGCAUCAUGUUCGGUAGUUAAUCUGGCAAUUUCCUCUUUGGCAUAGUGAUGAUGAACACAUUUGGUGCUAUAUUCCUCCCUAAUCUUAAUUAAAUCUUUAUUUUAAGCAUCUAGUUUUUCUUUAAGAGGCUUUAUGACUUUCUGAAUUUCAUAGAUUUCAAUUUUAUGGUUAAGAACCACUCUAACUAAUAACUCAUUAUGAUCAUGAUAUUUAUUAACUUUAUCUUCACAGGACUGAGAGCAUGGGUUUCACUUACCUUCUUGAUAUUUUUGUAAGAACUCAUUAUUUACCAAUACAAGAAAUCUGAUUGAGUAAAUGGAUUUUGACCGAAAACCAAGAAAAUAAAUGCUUGUCUGAUCGAAAAUACCAAUGGUCAACUCUCUAUUGACCGAGAACCUUGAAAGUCAACCUUUUGUCUGAAAUAAAAAUCUGGAUCGAGAACGAGGAUUCUAGACCGAGACCUUAGCCGAAAUCUUGAUAAACCAAGAAUCUAACCAAGAAUGGGAGGCCGAAGACUUUUGACCGAGAAUGUGGUUUCUUGACCAAAAACUUUGGCAGAUAUCCUAAUAAUCUGAGAAACUUAACUCAGAAGGCGAAGCCAAAGACUCGCACUGAAUACAUAGAUCGAGAUGUUGACCAAAUACGAAGAUGUUGACCGAAGACUAUAAGUAGUACCGAUAACUUAUUUGAACUAACCAAGAACGAGGCGCCUCCACCAAACUAGCCGACAACUCUCAAACCCUAACCGAAGUCACUUUGCUAGCAGCCGAAGACUCCUAAAAUCCUAAUCGAGGACGAGGUUUUCCGCUGAAAACUCUCAAAGAUAAGAUCGAAGUUGCCCAAAAACAAGAAAUUUUCAAAUUUUCAAACCAAAUUCGAUCAAAAACUCUAAAAUAAGGAAGAACACAAAGAACAAACAACAAUACUUUUAGUCAAAAUAAAUUAAAAGCACCAGAAACUCCAAGAAAAACUCCAAGAAAUUUUUAAUGCUUUGCCAAAUCAAUUGAUAACAAUCCAAGCUCUGAUACCAAUUAUAAAACCCGUUCUUGAUAUAUGAAUCGAAAUCACAAGAGUUGGUGUGGAAUUCGACUCAAGUGAUUAAUGCUAAACAAACAUUAACAAUUAGGAACACAGUUCACGAAUCUGCAAUGCAUACUAUAUUCAAGAAUAGUCUAAUACAUAAAGAUUCUUAAUUUUCUCUUGGUUCUCUCUUUCUCUCUAAAUCUCGAUCAUAAUUCCUUAGGAUAACCAACUGACUAACUCUAUCUUUUACGACUGAUAAUAUAUUAUAAACUAAACCUAAUACAAAGCCUUAAAAAUCGCAAGCCCAAACGAAAUCCUAUAAGCCCAAUGAAAUCACCCAACGAAAUCACCUUGUGAUUUUGGUCCAAACACCAUUGAGAAUAUGGAGAAUCCGGUCCUGGACCGAUAAAACUAAAAGAAAAAAAAGUAAAGUAUAAACCAUUAAUUAUGUCCUAACAACAAUGGUUGUUGCGUUGACUGUGCUACCUAAGAUGGCAUACCAUUUGUCAAACAUGCAUAUUAGUUUAGUCGUAAUAUAUCUGAACAUCUUUGGAAUAAUUUCUUUUACGACGGUUGAUACGGCUACUUCAGUGUAGCCACAAAUGUUAGUAUCCGUUGGUCCUGAUCCUCCUGAUCCAGAACCCGAAAAACUUCCUCUUGUGAUCAUUACCAUUCUCUAGAUAUUGAUGUGGCUAAAAUAAUAUAAAUCUAUAUAGUAUUUUGGGAUAAUGAUCGAUCCUUUCCAGCUUCUUAGAGACUUUGUAAUUCUUCUUGAUCCGAGUAUGAACCAUAUAUUUCUGAUAGUAUAGGACCCUAUACUACCUUCGAUACAUGUUUAUACCUAUCUAAAGAAUUUUUCCCAAUGUUUCUAAGUUUCUUACCCAAUUAGAAAUUGUUGCAAAAUAGCAUAAGUCCUAUAUACGAACUCCGUUACCUACUGUCUUUCUAAUGAUAGAAUAAUAUUGCCGAGAUUUAUAAUUUUCAUUAAUAUUAUUUUUCCUAAUAAUCUAUCGAUCAAAGAUUUGAAUUAUGUGGCCACACUACCGUACGAAGUCGGAUUUGAGCGUUCUUUAUAUGCACCCUCCCGAUUUAACGAUUGCGAUGAAAUUCAUUAUGAUCUAUUUGUUAAAAAGUGAUUUAUCAAAAAUUCACUUUUUUAAAAUUCGCAGAGUCACAUCAAUUAAAUUGCGAACCUUUGAAGAGGCAUAACUUCUUCAUAUGAAGACAUAUUUAAGCGUAAUACAUAUCUUUGAUAAUCGUAUCAACAUUUCCUACAUGCUCAUGAUGAUUAAUUGGGAUAAUGAUUAACGUACUUCUACUUUGAAUUUUAUAAACAAUGAUAUAUAUUGAAUCCUACGGAAUGGUAAAAAUGGGGUGUUACAACUCUUCCCCACUUACCAAAAUGUUGUCCCUACUCCUAGCGCACCUGAACAAUAUCUAAUUGGAGUCAUCAAAAUGUGGUUGACAUUUUUGUAUGUACACCUCUAAUAGAACCUAAUUUUCUACCUUAGACUUACUCCUCAGCUCCUCACGAAGUCUUCCAAAACUGGGAGUCGGUUGGGACUUUUUGAAUUUUAUUUUAUGAUGAAUGGUCAUCUUUGGGUGUGAAAUGUUGAUUUGUUCUCUUGACUAGGAGCAUCGUUGACUUGUUUUGAUGCGAGUAAAUAGAAAUAUUUAUAUACGAUUUCCUAACAUAAUUCUCUUUCAAGAAAAGGCUUAUAGUGUACCGUUUUGACUUUGUGUCAUAUGAUAUUUUUCUAUGACGUACCCUUAAAACAUUUACGAUCUUAGAUUAUAGGUAGCUUAUUUGGCUAGUUCAUGUAUCCUUGCAACCUCAAAUUUAACCAAAACUACUACAAUGGGUUUAUUAAAUUUUUACUGAAUAUAAAUCUCUAAGUCUUGUAUACGUCUAGAGUAACUGACGCUUUUUAUAUCGAUCUGUGCAACCUAGUAAAAUUCUUAUGGACCGGUCCUCUACUUCAGCUAUGAGGACGAAUCCUACAUUCUUUUAAACACAAGCGUAUCGGGUCCUCUUGACUAUCUGAGCCGAAUUUAGGAAUUCGGUAAUUUCCUAAAUCAUAUAUGAUGCUUGGGAGGAAAGACCAAACCUUCACUUGAGAAUCAAGAAGCUCAUAACACGUGGGUCAUCUCAGCAAGAAACUUCAUUCUUUCUUUACCCCAAAACUAAAUGAAAACUUAUAUCUACUUAGGUCGCAUUCCAUACAAAAAAAACUAACAAUAUCCUCCUAAUUGGGUUGCCACUCGGAUAACUUGGUGUCGAGGCCGAAAGUCGAGCUGAUCCUCAUACUUUUUCCUUACGGGUUGGUUCUCCCCCACUUCGGUUCAACCAAUUCUAUGUUACUACUUGUCACUGAUAGAUGCUUAUGUUGGAUUUGGUUAUAGUAUUGGUAUUUCCAUUUUAACCUUAGAGAAACUCAUGUUUGUCAUAUCCAAUGACCUUUGAUAUUCAUAUUGUACUACUUGUAUUCCUCAUAAGUAAUUUCCAUAAAAUAGGAUAAUCAUAAGUUGUUUGGAAAUACACAUACUUUUGACACUAGCAACUAUACGUAAAGUAAGCAUCCCGUACUUAUUAUAAUAUUUUUUUUUCAUUCAUUUAUUACAUUAGUUGAUGCCUAAGAAUAUUGUUGACUUGUAAGAUGUGGUCACACUCAUGCUAGAGCUUUCUAUCGUUUCGAAGAACAUGUAACUACAAACUCUAGUGCUUCACUUGCCUCCUCUUCCAUGAGUUGAAAGGCUCAUACUUUUGCUUUUGGGGCUUCAAGUCCAGAUUGCCUUUCAUUGGUUAUCUUUAAUUUCGUAGGUGCUGGAACUUGUAUUGCGCAUGUUAGCUUCGGAAGAGGGAAAUUAACCAUUAUAUAGCCUACCUGAUUGUAGUGGAAACAAAUGCGUAGUCCCCAUGCCGUUCGAUUAACAUAUAGGCUGUAAUUUCGUUCCUUGCUGCAUUUGUAGUAUAUCAAAACAUGAUAGGAUCCUUCUUGAGUUUUUCCAUACAUAUUGGACGAAGGACCUUUCUGUCGUCUAUACCUUGAAUCAAUGUGUUUGGAUCUUCUGGUUGCUGGCUGGGAUGUAGCUAGAAUCUGCCUCUUUUCCUUCGUUUGCGUUUCCGACCCAAUCUCCCUCUUCCUAGCAUGGUCUUCCAUCUCUACCAUUGUCUUGUAUCGAUUGCUCGAUACACACUCUCUAAUAUUUGUCUUAUGUAUGCUCAGGUACCAAGACAUUUGCACCUGUUUUGAGAAUGAAUAUUAUGGGCAGAAUAGGGCCCUCUCUGUGAAGAUCUUAGUUAUCUCUGUGUCCGACUCUUUUGUUUGCUUGAGCGACAAGAAUUAUUGAGAUUUUCAAUCAUUCUCCACAAAUUGUUCCCAUGUGAUUGCAUUCUUCUCAACUGGUGAAUAGUCCUUCAUGACAAAAUUACACCAGGGUUUCACCCCAUGACAGAGAAGAUUUUGCGUAUAACUAAACUUUAGGUCGCUUCGGCAAGAACAAGUGUAGAAACAUCCUUCUACGUCAAAGAUCCAUCUCAUUGCAAUGACUAAAUCCCUGACACUUUCAAUCUCCGGUGAUUUGACAAUGUUGAACUCCCUAUAGGUCAUGUCCUUCUCCCUAGGUGAGGCUGUGACAACAACGACAUUAGUGGCUAUUGCGGCGAUUAUGCUAGCUACGAUGAGAUACCAUUUGUCAAAUAUGUAUAUUCGUUCAGUCUUAAUAGAUCGGAACAUCUCUGGAAUAAUUUCUCUUAUGUCGGUUGAUAUUGUUGCUUCUAUCUAGUCGUGAAUGUCAGUUUCUCUUGGUUCUGAUCCUCCUGAUCCAGAACCUGAACAGCUUCCUCUCGUGAUCAUUACCAUUCGGGAGAUAUUGAUGAUCCAGGUAUGAACCUUGUAUUUCCGGUAAUAUGGGACCUUAAACUACAUUCAAAGAAUUUGUCCCAAUGUUUCUAAGAGGCUAUGAUCUCUUAUAGACAUGUCGUUUCACACGUACAAUGUUCCGAGGUCUAGCUACUCUCUUUCCUAUACUUUGAUAGGUUCUUUCGUCUCUACCGACACCCUACCAUACGAAUACAUGCCAUUCCAAGCAUAUAUUAAACUUCCUACACUAUCCUUCUAGGAUUCCUCUCCAUUUUUCUCUAUUAUUAGCCGAUAAAGAACUUUUAUUAGUAUUAGCAAGUUACUAGACAAAUACAGUUAUAUACCUUUAAAAUCAAACUGUUGAGUUCGAAAGUUGUUGUGAGGUGUUGAAGUCUGUCUGAGUUUGUAUUAGUGUCGAAGCAUGUUUGUUUGUUUAUUAUAAGGGUAAUGUUAGUGACAAAAUAGUAAUGUUUAGUCCCUUAUAUUUUUUGUACGCUUUUGUUAUCCCUAUAAAUGUGGGGUGGGUACUAGAGUUAUAAUAGUUCUUGGAGUGUUGAACUUGUACUCUCUAUUUCUCUUUGUAUCUUAUCAAAGGGUAAUCAAGCCAUACAUAUCAUAUUUACAUCUUGUGUUCAUAAUUCAUCAAAUACUCUGAUCUAGUUUAAUAUUCUCGUUUAAUUACGACUACAUUUGGUAUCAGAGUAGGAUUCUUUCAGUUUUGAUCUAAUUUUCUUUAGUUUUCAAAAGGUUUUGAGUCUCGUUCUAGAUUCAAAAUAUUCUGCUCUUUUGAUUCUGUAAUCAUCACAUACCAUCUAUUUUGAUUCAAUGAUGCUUGUAGUUUGUAAGAUCGAGUAUUCUGUUUUAGUUUUCUAGAAGUUUUGUCAAUCAAAUCUCAAUUUCUGAAGCUUUUCACAAAUUUCAUCCGUACAACAAUGGUGAACUUUAACAUGAACAUCAUGAAUUCAUACUCUCAUCUUCUUGGUUCAUCCAGUAAUAUUCCUAUGUUGAUUCCAUAAUUCUAUGAACAAUGGGAUGAUCGAACGCAGGACUAUCUGAAUGGAAUCGAUGAGGAUCUAUGGAAAUACAUUGUUGGUGAAGUUCAUUCUCCUACUGCCAUGCAAAAUAUUGGAACCGUUGCUAGCAAUCCAAUUGUUGCUCAACAAUCUGAGAAACUACUGAAAAAUGAAAAGAAAUGUAUGCGUGAACUCAAUGUUGCUCUUCCACCUGUUGUUUACAACUAUAUGUGUAGUUCUAAGACUUCAAAGGAGAUUUGCGACACACUGAAAGAGAAGUACCAAGGAAGAAAAAAAACAAAGAUAAGCUCAGCUAUGUAGUGUCUGUUAGAGUUGGGAGAGUUUAAGGAGAAGAAAGGAGAAUCUAUUGAGCUCUACUAUGAUUGUCUGAAUGAAUUAAUCUAAAGGUGCAACACAUAUGGAGUUACAAGGUCAACAAUGUAGUUCAACUUGAUUUUCAACAUGGGACAUCACAAGGAAUGGCGCAACGUCAGCUUAGUGAUAAAAAUGUUGGGUUUUGAGCAUUCUAACACUCCUAAGUGUACAUGAAACCCUAAAUACCUUGGAUCUAUGUUUUCUCUAUUACCCAUACAAAUAUGAAUAUCCAAGGUAUUAUCCUAAUCUAGCAUACAAAACAAUGAAUAUAACAAGAUAGAAUACAUACCUCUUUCAUGUAGAAAGUCUUCAUGAAGCUUGAGUGCCUAGUGCCCCAAGUGUGACACCUCAAAUGGUUCACACAACACCAAAUACACUUGGAAUAACUUGAGAUAAACUUGAACACUCCAUGAAAUCGUUUAGCCCUCACACACACACAUAGUGCACGAUUUCUUGAGCCAUGGGAUUCUUUUAUAUGGCGGCUAUUAGGGUUACACCAUGUAACUCAUGACUUUACCCAUUCCUUAUGCUCCAUGGAUUUUAACCUUCAUGGAGCAUCCAUGGGUCACCCCAUGGACUUAGUCUAACAUAAGUAAUCUUGGAUCACAAGACCACAUAUAUAAGAAUGAAUGAUUUACACAAUCAACCCAUAUAUUUAAUUAGUCGCCUUUUGAUCAAUUAAUUAAUUCCAAAUUAAUUCUUGAUCAAUACUAAUUAAAUAACCUUAUUAAUAUAUUAGAACUUAUAAUAUAUUAACAAACCUUAAGUUUUAUUUCUCUCAUUUUAGUCUAUCCAAAAUGCAUGAUGCCAUGCAACCCAAAUGGACCAUGGCGGGUCGGGUCAAGUCUUACCAAUUAUAGUUAUGGACUUAGACAUUAAUCCAACAGUCUCCCAGUUGGAUAAGUCUAAAACUAUUAUUGCGUAUGACUUCAGGAACCAACUGGCAAUCGUAGCUCUCAAAAGCUUCUGUCGAACUCUGACCUUGUAGAUGAACUCUGACCUUUGUCAAUGACUUGUCCAUUAGAUAAGGGAUCAUAUAUUCCUCCAUUCUAGAUAUCAUAUGGACUGAGACAUGGAUUAUAAUCAUUCUCUCUGUCCAUUUGUUGUUUCCCGAUUUCCGAUUUAUGACGACUGACUAAUUGAACAAAUCAAAUCAGUCCUGGCCCUACCGAGCACUUCCAUUUGUCAUCAUCAAAUCAUCGAGGGACCCAUAAAUAUUUCUUUUAUCCCAAAGGUAAAAGGAAUGGAUAAACUUCGACUCAUAUGGCUUAUUCCAUUACUUGUUGAAUCAUACACAAAGGCAUCUAUAACACCGAGUUACCAAAUGCGUUUUCGUGCAAUCAAUGUACAACCAACUCAUAGUAACAACUCAUAUCUCUAGGUUAGAAGAAUAUAAGAUAUUAUUGUCCCAUGAUCACUCGUGAUAAAAUCCAUGAAGUGAUUCCAAUGAGCGCGGGUUGAAUCCAAUACUCAGAACUUAUGAGCACUCAUGAGUGUUGUAGCCUUUUUUCCAACAUCUUAGACCUCUACAAGCCAACCCAUGAUAGUCUUGACUCCUAUAUACUUCCAACAUAUGACCUACUGUGGAUGGUUUAAAUAACUUAGUCAUUCCUGAAGAAUAACCUAGUUUAUUCUGCAUGUCAAAACAUGCAAAAUGAAACACAAUAAUAAUUGAAUCCAAUAUGGUAUCAAAACCUAUGAACAUAAAUAAACCACCUUUUAUUUAUCACCAUAUGAUAACACAUUAUUAUUGUAUACUGUUUCAGCUAUCAACUUUAUUCUUGAAUUUAAAACAAUAGUUGUCCCAUGCUCCAAGCAUGUACACUAUGUUUUCUUAAACACUAGUCAUGCCACACACCAAGUAUGCAUACUAUGUUUGUCUAUGAUCUUUACUUUGUGAACUAGAUCAAUUGAACAUAACUUCAAUGAUUCUCUUUUCACACUCCCAAAUCCUUACUGCAAAUGCAAGAAUUCCAAAUUCAUGCCAUUUACUGAAAUCUGUUAGAUUCUAAACUUAUAUGCAUUGAUCCUCUUGUAAUGAUUAUGCACAAAGUCACAAAGACUUGGCAACAAUCAUUACAGAGUAUUCCAAAGGAGAUCAACUCCUUGGAAAUAUCCUUCUUGCAUUAAGUUUCCUUAAUCUUACACAGAUUGAAAAUUCUAACUUUGAAACAUUUCCAGAUUCCAUUUUGACUAUCACUUCUGAACAAGAGUUGCCUCCUUACAGAUUAUGUCAAUAUGGUCCUUCCAGAAUUAUCACUAUACUUCCAAUUGUCCUUGAGCAACCAAUCUUUGGUAAACCUUAGAUUGUCCUCGACAAUUGUUUAAUCCUUUUAGUCAUAUCCAGUUCUAAACCUUUUCCCUUCUUAAUGCCCCAGGCAUUUGGAAAAUUUUAGAACGGAUGAAUAUAGCACAUGUAAUCGAUCCUAUAUCCGAAGCAUAUGGGACACGAUUCAUGAUGUCUUACAUAAAGACUAAACCAGUCUUUUGCUAUAAUAUUUCCAUUUCAAUUUGCCAAGUUCUCAUAAUUCAGAUUAUGAAAAGGGAUGCCGUAAUCAUAAUCGAAUUUUAGAACGCAAAUAAUGGACCCAUAUACAGAAUUUCCUUAUGUUGAGCCAUUCCAACAUGAAAUUCAUAUAUAUCCUUGACUAAAUGAUUAAAACCUCACGAUCUAAGCUUAUAGAUUUGAGAUGAAGCAUAAUUUCCUCUCCCUUAAUUAUAGCAAAACAACUUUUUCCCAAUUGAAACUUUUGUUUUCUAUAAUUAACAUUGCUAACUUGCAAUACUUAUCAUAAUUAUCAUGCUCCCACUAACAUGAUGAUUAUUAGCAUAACACUUAUGCUCCCACUAGCUUUGACAUGUACUCAGAAAUCAACUGACUUUCUUACCAAAGUUUAGAUUUCUGAUACUAGAUUGUUUUGAUAAAACUAUUUCAAAAUCAUACACCUUCCCUUAGAUAGCUUAUAGGUGUGUCUAGAAAAUUAUGAAGAGGGAUGCUGUAAUCAUAAUGGUUAGACCUUUUUUCUACUUCUCACAAGUCCAGGUUAGUGUGCCGGUUAACCACACACGCUCCACUUAUGACUUUGAGAAUGCAAAUAUUGCAAAUGCUAUCUAGCUAAAAUCUACUUAGUGAAAGUGUUUCCUCACCAUCACUUUGAUGAAUCGGAGAGAAACCUUAUGACAAUUAGAUUUUAUUGUGUAUGAGUUCCUACCCAUAUGAAUUUGUCAAAACCAUAAUCACAAGACAAGGAUAAUGACAAAUCCAAACUCAUAUGGAUUAAAAUCAAUCUUAAUUUCUUGCCACCUGGCAGCUCAAGGGCCUGCCAUUGCUUCGAAGUUGUUGUGCAACCAAUUGAGAACUCUAAAAACUCAUAUGCAAACCCAACUUUAACUGGAAUGGGCACAUAAUAUGUCAACAUGAUAGGGUAUAAACCUCAAGUUGUGUGCUAGUGAAGAACUUUAGGUUUUAUUCUUGAUUAGUUCUUGAGACUUUCAAGACUUUUAAGACUCCUACUGUCCUCUUGACAUAUAAGACUUUCUUGUCAGAUAUUCAAGAGAUAGUGUGGAUUCUCAUCAAGACAAACACUUCACAAAAUUGGCCUUAGUUGGUCUUUGUUUUAUCCAAAGCAUCACAACUUACCAAUUUCAAAUGUACAAGAGUAGAAAACUUUACUCUUACAUUUGCCAUGUGUUUUAAACCUUCUCUAAGACAUGUCACUCAAAUUACAAUCUUGGAGUAUGAAUCUUAAUUCAAGUUCCUCUUUUUAGUCAUAAGAAUGCACUAAGAUUUCCUUAGCGAACUAAUUUUGAUAUGGUUUCUUAAUCAUUAAGAUGAUCACAAAAACUGAUACUAAAGUACUCUCCCAUCUUUUCAGAUUUGAGAAACUUUUAUCC